This 1284-nucleotide ribosomal RNA is filed under the name metagenome. Its description in RNAcentral is "SSU rRNA". It matches the Rfam family "Eukaryotic small subunit ribosomal RNA", at positions 493 to 1800 of the family's 1831-position model. The record is from RNAcentral.
AAUCGAGGCCCCGUAAUUGGAAUGAGUACACUUUAAAUCCUUUAACGAGGAUCAAUUGGAGGGCAAGUCUGGUGCCAGCAGCCGCGGUAAUUCCAGCUCCAAUAGCGUAUAUUAAAGUUGUUGCAGUUAAAAAGCUCGUAGUUGGAUCUCAGGAUUUGGAUGGAUGGUUCGCUUUCGGGCGCUACUAUCUGUCUGACCUACUCUAGUCGUGGAUGCCUUGGGUGCUCUUAAUUGAGUGCUUUUGGUGCCCGACGCAAUUAUUUUGAAAAAAUUAGAGUGCUCAAAGCAGGCGUAUUGCCUGAAUAGUGUUGCAUGGAAUAAUGAAAUAGGAGUUUACUUCUAUUUUGUUGGUUUUCGGAGGUGAACUAAUGAUUAACAGGGACAGACGGGGGCAUUUGUAUGGAGGGGUUAGAGGUGAAAUUCUUGGAUCCUCUCCAGACAAACUACUGCGAAAGCAUUUGCCAGGAAUGUUUUCACUAAUCAAGAACGAUAGUCAGAGGCGAAGACGAUCAGAUACCGUCCUAGUUCUGACCAUAAAUGAUGCCAUCUAACAAUCCACGAAGUUUGCUUGUACGAACUCGUGGGCGGUCCCCGGGAAACCAAAGAUUUUGGGUUCCGGGGGAAGUAUGGUUGCAAAGCUGAAACUUAAAGGAAUUGACGGAAGGGCACCACCAGGAGUGGAGCCUGCGGCUUAAUUUGACCCAACACGGGAAACCUCACCCGGCCCGGACACUUUUAGGAUUGACAGAUUGAAGGCUCUUUCUUGAUCAAGUGGUUGGUGGUGCAUGGCCGUUCUUAGUUGGUGGAGCGAUUUGUCUGGUUAAUUCCGAUAACGAACGAGACUCUACUCUGCUAAAUAGAACGUUGAUAUAUAAAAGUCAGUGCUGACUUCUUAGAGAGACUAACGGCGUUUAGCCGUGUGAGAAAGAGCAAUAACAGGUCUGUGAUGCCCUUAGAUGUCCGGGGCCGCACGCGCGCUACACUGACUGCAGCAACUAGUAUGCUCCUGGUUUGAAAAAACUGGGUAACCUGGUUGAAUUGCAGGCGUGACAGGGAUCAGAGUUUGCAAUUAUCCUCUGUGAACGAGGAAUUCCCAGUAAGCGCAAGUCAUUAGCUUGUGCUGAUUACGUCCCUGCCCUUUGUACACACCGCCCGUCGCUACUACCGAUUGAAUGGUUUAGUGAGGUCUUCGGAUUGGUGCUGAUGGAGUGGUUCUCUGCUCUGUUAGUGCCGAGAAGAUGAUCAAACUUGAUCAUUUAGAGGAAGUAAAAGUCGUAACAAGGU